AGGCCUAACACAUGCAAGUCGAACGGUAACAGGAAGCAGCUUGCUGCUUCGCUGACGAGUGGCGGACGGGUGAGUAAUGUCUGGGAAGCUGCCUGAUGGAGGGGGAUAACUACUGGAAACGGUAGCUAAUACCGCAUAAUGUCGCAAGACCAAAGAGGGGGACCUUCGGGCCUCUUGCCAUCGGAUGUGCCCAGAUGGGAUUAGCUUGUUGGUGGGGUAACGGCUCACCAAGGCGACGAUCCCUAGCUGGUCUGAGAGGAUGACCAGCCACACUGGAACUGAGACACGGUCCAGACUCCUACGGGAGGCAGCAGUGGGGAAUAUUGCACAAUGGGCGCAAGCCUGAUGCAGCCAUGCCGCGUGUAUGAAGAAGGCCUUCGGGUUGUAAAGUACUUUCAGCGGGGAGGAAGGGAGUAAAGUUAAUACCUUUGCUCAUUGACGUUACCCGCAGAAGAAGCACCGGCUAACUCCGUGCCAGCAGCCGCGGUAAUACGGAGGGUGCAAGCGUUAAUCGGAAUUACUGGGCGUAAAGCGCACGCAGGCGGUUUGUUAAGUCAGAUGUGAAAUCCCCGGGCUCAACCUGGGAACUGCAUCUGAUACUGGCAAGCUUGAGUCUCGUAGAGGGGGGUAGAAUUCCAGGUGUAGCGGUGAAAUGCGUAGAGAUCUGGAGGAAUACCGGUGGCGAAGGCGGCCCCCUGGACGAAGACUGACGC
This 713-nucleotide ribosomal RNA is filed under the name uncultured Pseudomonadota bacterium. RNAcentral describes it as "bacterial SSU rRNA". It matches the Rfam family "Bacterial small subunit ribosomal RNA", at positions 44 to 746 of the family's 1533-position model. Lineage: Bacteria; Pseudomonadati; Pseudomonadota. The record is from RNAcentral.